GACGAACCGUGCGAACGUUGUUCGGAAUCACUGGGCAUAAAGGGCGCGUAGGCGGGCCGCAAAGUCAAGGGUGAAAUCCCCCAGCUCAACUGGGGAACUGCCUUUGAUACUGGCGGUCUUGAGUAAGGUAGGGGCGUGCGGAACUGAUGGUGGAGCGGUGAAAUGUGUUGAUAUCGGUGGGAACGCCAGUGGCGAAAGCGGCAGACUUGACCCUUCCUGACGCUGAGGCGCGAAAGCUAGGGGAGCAAACGGG
Molecule: ribosomal RNA, 253 nt
Filed under: uncultured bacterium
Lineage: Bacteria
Description: partial 16S ribosomal RNA
Rfam family: Bacterial small subunit ribosomal RNA
Source: RNAcentral